GGGGAAUUUUCCGCAAUGGGCGAAAGCCUGACGGAGCAACGCCGCGUGAGUGAAGAAGGUCUUCGGACUGUAAAGCUCUGUCCUUAGGGAAGAAAAAUUUCUAGAGGUAAUGCUAGGAAUCUGACGGUACCUAGGGAGGAAGCACUGGCUAACUACGUGCCAGCAGCCGCGGUAAUACGUAGAGUGCAAGCGUUGUCCGGAAUCAUUGGGCGUAAAGGGUACGCAGGCGGAUAAUCAAGUCAAGCGUGAAAGGUGUCGGCUUAACCGACAGACUGCGUUUGAAACUGGUUAUCUUGAGUGUAACAGAGGAGAGUGGAGUUCCUAGUGUAGUGGUGAAAUACGUAGAUAUUAGGAAGAACACCAGUGGCGAAGGCGACUCUCUGGGUUAACACUGACGCUGAGGUACGAAAGCUGGGGGAGCGAAUGGGAUUAGAUACCCCAGUAGUC
This 447-nucleotide ribosomal RNA is filed under the name uncultured Bacillota bacterium. RNAcentral's name for it is "bacterial SSU rRNA". It matches the Rfam family "Bacterial small subunit ribosomal RNA", at positions 356 to 795 of the family's 1533-position model. The record is from RNAcentral. Lineage: Bacteria; Bacillati; Bacillota.